CCUACGGGAGGCUGCAGUGAGGAAUAUUGGUCAAUGGACGCAAGUCUGAACCAGCCAUGCCGCGUGCAGGAAGACGGCUCUAUGAGUUGUAAACUGCUUUUGUACGAGGGUAAACGCAGAUACGCGUAUCUGUCUGAAAGUAUCGUACGAAUAAGGAUCGGCUAACUCCGUGCCAGCAGCCGCGGUAAUACGGAGGAUUCAAGCGUUAUCCGGAUUUAUUGGGUUUAAAGGGUGCGUAGGCGGUCGGAUAAGUUAGUGGUGAAAUCCCGAGGCUCAACUUCGGAAUUGCCUCUGAUACUGUCCGGCUAGAGAGUAGUUGCGGUAGGCGGAAUGCAUGGUGUAGCGGUGAAAUGCUUAGAGAUCAUACAGAACACCGAUUGCGAAGGCAGCUUACCAAGCUACUACUGACGUUGAUGCACGAAAGCGUGGGGAGCAAACAGGAUUAGAUACCCGAGUAGUC
This 460-nucleotide ribosomal RNA is filed under the name uncultured bacterium. RNAcentral describes it as "partial 16S ribosomal RNA". It matches the Rfam family "Bacterial small subunit ribosomal RNA", at positions 338 to 795 of the family's 1533-position model. The record is from RNAcentral.